Molecule: ribosomal RNA, 755 nt
Filed under: uncultured bacterium
Lineage: Bacteria
Description: bacterial SSU rRNA
Rfam family: Bacterial small subunit ribosomal RNA
Source: RNAcentral
AUUGAACACUGGCGGCAGGCUUAACACAUGCAAGUCGAGCGGAAACGAUGAUAGCUUGCUAUCAGGCGUCGAGCGGCGGACGGGUGAGUAAUACUUAGGAAUCUACCUAGUAGUGGGGGAUAGCACGGGGAAACUCGUAUUAAUACCGCAUACGACCUACGGGAGAAAGGGGGCAGUUUACUGCUCUCGCUAUUAGAUGAGCCUAAGUCGGAUUAGCUAGAUGGUGGGGUAAAGGCCUACCAUGGCGACGAUCUGUAGCUGGUCUGAGAGGAUGAUCAGCCACACCGGGACUGAGACACGGCCCGGACUCCUACGGGAGGCAGCAGUGGGGAAUAUUGGACAAUGGGGGAAACCCUGAUCCAGCCAUGCCGCGUGUGUGAAGAAGGCCUUUUGGUUGUAAAGCACUUUAAGCAGUGAAGAAGACUCCGUGGUUAAUACCCACGGACGAUGACAUUAGCUGCAGAAUAAGCACCGGCUAACUCUGUGCCAGCAGCCGCGGUAAUACAGAGGGUGCAAGCGUUAAUCGGAAUUACUGGGCGUAAAGGGAGCGUAGGUGGCUCUAUAAGUCAGAUGUGAAAUCCCCGGGCUUAACCUGGGAACUGCAUCUGAAACUGUAGAGCUAGAGUAUGUGAGAGGGAGGUAGAAUUUCAGGUGUAGCGGUGAAAUGCGUAGAGAUCUGAAGGAAUACCGAUGGCGAAGGCAGCCUCCUGGCAUAAUACUGACACUGAGGCUCGAAAGCGUGGGUAGCAAACAGG